CCUACGGGAGGCAGCAGUGAGGAAUAUUGGUCAAUGGGCUUACGCCUGAACCAGCCAAGUCGCGUGAGGGAAGACGGUCCUAUGGAUUGUAAACCUCUUUUGUAGGGGAGCAAAAGACGCCACGCGUGGCGUUCCGAGAGUACCCGAAGAAAACGCAUCGGCUAAUUCCGUGCCAGCAGCAGCGGUAAUACGGAGGAUGUGAGCGUUAUCAGGAGUUAUUGGGUUUAAUGGGUAGGUAGGCGGAAUAUCAAGUCAGCGGUAAAAAUUCGGGGCUCAACUCCGUCGUGCCGUUGAAACUGAUGUUCUGGAGUGGGCGAGAAGUAUGCGGAAUGCGUGGUGUAGCGGUGAAAUGCAUAGAUAUCACGCAGAACUCCGAUUGCGAAGGCAGCAUACCGGCGCCCAACUGACGCUGAAGCACGAAAGCGUGGGUAUCGAACAGGAUUAGAUACCCGAGUAGUC
Molecule: ribosomal RNA, 459 nt
Filed under: uncultured bacterium
Lineage: Bacteria
Description: partial 16S ribosomal RNA
Rfam family: Bacterial small subunit ribosomal RNA
Source: RNAcentral